Molecule: RNA transcript, 5557 nt
Organism: Peromyscus maniculatus bairdii (prairie deer mouse)
Lineage: Eukaryota; Metazoa; Chordata; Mammalia; Rodentia; Cricetidae
Gene: Ift172
Gene name: intraflagellar transport 172
Source: RefSeq, a predicted model, not a curated record
CACGUCGCCUGUGCGUCAGCGGCCCGCGCCGCCGCUGCCGCCGCCGCCGCUUGGCGGGUUGUCCGGGUAACCGCGGGAGUUGUCUCGGUCAGCGAGGCUCCGAGAGCCGUGUGCGUCAUGCAGUUGAAGCACCUGAGGACCCUGCUGAGCCCUCAGGAUGGAGCUGCGAAGGUGACGUGUAUGGCCUGGUCCCAGAACAAUGCUAAAUUUGCUGUCUGCACGGUGGACCGCGUGGUACUGCUGUAUGAUGAACAUGGGGAGCGGAGAGACAAGUUCUCCACGAAGCCAGCCGACAUGAAGUACGGCAGGAAGAGCUACAUGGUAAAAGGCAUGGCUUUCUCUCCGGAUUCCACUAAAAUUGCCAUAGGACAGACUGACAACAUCAUCUACGUCUACAAGAUUGGAGAAGAUUGGGGUGACAAGAAGGUGAUCUGCAACAAGUUCAUCCAGACGAGCGCCGUCACUUGUCUGCAGUGGCCUGCGGAGUACAUUAUUGUCUUUGGACUGGCCGAAGGCAAGGUUCGCUUAGCAAACACUAAAACUAACAAGUCUUCUACCAUCUACGGGACAGACUCUUACGUGGUGGCAUUGACAACCAAUUGCUCUGGGAAAGGGAUCCUCUCGGGCCACGCAGACGGCACCAUCGUCAGGUAUUUCUUCGAUGAUGAAGGCUCUGGAGAGUCACAGGGGAAGCUGGUUAGCCAUCCAUGCCCACCCUAUGCCUUGGCCUGGGCAACCAACAGCAUCGUGGCUGCGGGCUGUGAUCGGAGGAUCGUGGCCUACGGGAAGGAAGGCCACGUGCUGCAGACUUUCGACUACAGCCGUGACCCUCAGGAGCGGGAAUUCACCACAGCCGCAGCAAGUCCUGGAGGCCAGUCUGUCGUGCUGGGCAGUUAUGACAGACUCCGGGUGUUCAACUGGAGUCCUCGAAGAAGCAUCUGGGAAGAGGCCAAGCCCAAGGAGAUUGCCAACUUAUACACCGUCACUGCCUUGGCCUGGAAACGGGACGGCUCACGACUCUGUGCGGGCACACUCUGUGGCGGGGUGGAGCAGUUUGACUGUUGCCUGCGAAGGAGCAUUUACAAGAACAAGUUCGAGCUGACGUAUGUGGGACCCAGCCAGGUGAUAGUGAAGAACCUAUCUUCAGGGACCAGGGUGGUGCUCAAGUCCCACUACGGCUAUGAGGUGGAGGAGGUGAAGAUCCUGGGAAAGGAGCGGUACUUGGUAGCUCACACGUCAGACACGCUGCUGCUCGGAGACUUGAACACUAACCGCCUCAGCGAGAUAGCCUGGCAGGGGUCUGGUGGCAAUGAGAAAUACUUCUUUGAAAAUGAGAAUGUGUGCAUGAUCUUCAAUGCUGGCGAGCUGACCCUGGUAGAAUACGGGAGUAAUGACUCCUUGGGUUCUGUACGCACUGAAUUCAUGAACCCUCACCUCAUCAGCGUCCGUAUCAACGAGAGGUGCCAGCGAGGAAUGGAAGAUAAUAAGAAAUUGGCUUAUCUUGUUGAUAUUAAGACUAUUGCUAUAGUGGAUCUGAUUGGCGGCUACAACAUUGGUACGAUCAAUCACGAGAGCCGUGUGGAUUGGCUGGAACUUAACGAGACUGGACACAAGCUUCUCUUCAGGGACCGCAAACUUCGUCUGCAUCUAUAUGAUAUUGAAAGCUGCUCUAAGACAAUGAUCCUCAACUUCUGCUCCUACGUGCAGUGGGUUCCCGGGAGUGAUGUGCUGGUAGCUCAGAACCGCAACAGCUUGUGCGUAUGGUACAACAUUGAGGCACCUGAGAGAGUCACCAUGUCCUCCAUCAGGGGUGAUGUUGUAGGCCUGGAGCGAGGCGGAGGGAAGACAGAGGUGAUGGUGACCGAAGGUGUGACCACUGUUGCCUACACCCUGGACGAGGGCCUUAUUGAGUUUGGAACAGCCAUCGACGACGGCAACUACACCCGGGCGACCGCCUUCUUGGAGACCCUGGAGAUGACCCCAGAAACAGAGGCAAUGUGGAAAACCUUGAGCAAACUGGCCCUGGAGGCCAGGCAGCUCCACACUGCCGAGAGGUGCUUUUCUGCUCUGGGUCACGUGGCGAAAGCUCGAUUUCUGCAUGAGACCAAUGAGAUCGCGGAUCAGGUGUCCAGGGAAUAUGGUGGAGAAGGAACCGACUUCUAUCAGGUCCGAGCACGGCUAGCCAUGCUGGAAAAGAACUACAAACUGGCAGAGAUGAUCUUCUUGGAACAGAAUGCUGUUGAGGAGGCCAUGGACAUGUACCAGGAGCUGCACCGUUGGGACGAGUGUAUCGCUGUGGCUGAGGCCAAGGGACACCCGGCCCUGGAGAAGCUGCGCAGGGAUUACUAUCAGUGGUUAAUGGACACACAACAAGAGGAACGAGCAGGUGAACUGCAGGAGAGUCAAGGGGAUGGGCUGGCAGCCAUCAGCCUCUACCUCAAGGCGGGGCUCCCUGCCAAAGCUGCGCGCCUGGUGCUGACCCGCGAGGAGCUUCUGGCCAACACGGAGCUGGUAGAACACAUCACCACGGCCCUCAUCAAGGGGGAGCUCUACGAAAGGGCAGGUGAUCUCUUCGAGAAGAUUCGAAACCCACAGCGGGCCCUUGAGUGCUACUGUAAAGGCAAUGCAUUCAUGAAAGCGGUGGAGCUGGCUCGACUGGCCUUCCCGGUGGAGGUUGUGAGGCUGGAGGAGGCCUGGGGGGACUACUUGGUGCAGCAGAAGCAGCUGGAUGCAGCCAUCAAUCACUACAUUGAAGCCAGGUGCUCCAUUAAAGCCAUUGAGGCUGCUCUGGGUGCCCGCCAGUGGAAGAAGGCAAUUUACAUAUUAGACCUCCAGGAUCGGAACACUGCGUCUAAAUACUACCCUCGUGUGGCCCAGCACUACGCAUCUCUGCAGGAGUAUGAGAUUGCUGAGGAGCUCUACACCAAAGGAGACCGGACCAAAGACGCCAUAGACAUGUACACGCAGGCUGGCCGCUGGGAGCAAGCCCACAAGCUGGCAAUGAAGUGCAUGCGGCCGGAAGACGUGUCGGUGCUGUACAUCACGCAGGCCCAGGAGAUGGAGAAGCAGGGCAAGUACCGGGAGGCUGAAAGGCUGUAUGUGACAGUGGAGGAGCCCGAUCUUGCCAUCACCAUGUUCAAAAAGCACAAGUUGUAUGACGACAUGAUCCGCCUGGUAGGGAAGCACCACCCAGAUCUGCUCAGUGACACACACCUCCACCUGGGCAAGGAGCUGGAGGCCGAAGGCCGGCUGCAGGAGGCCGAGUAUCACUACCUCGAGGCCCAGGAAUGGAAGGCCACUGUGAACAUGUACCGGUCCAGUGGGCUGUGGGAGGAGGCCUACCGGGUGGCCAAAGCCCAUGGAGGCGCCAACGCCCACAAACACGUGGCCUAUCUGUGGGCGAAGAGCCUGGGAGGAGAGGCUGCGGUCAGACUGCUUAACAAGCUGGGACUUCUGGAGGCUGCCAUCGACCAUGCCGCAGACAACUGCUCCUUUGAAUUUGCCUUUGAACUCUCUCGGCUGGCCCUCAAGCACAAAACCCCGGAGAUUCAUCUCAGAUACGCCAUGUACCUGGAGGACGAGGGCAAAUUUGAAGAGGCUGAAGCUGAGUUCAUCAGAGCUGGCAAACCCAAAGAGGCAGUCCUCAUGUUUGUCCACAACCAGGAUUGGGAGGCAGCUCAGCGUGUGGCUGAGGCCCAUGACCCUGACAGUGUUGCUGAGGUGCUUGUAGGUCAGGCCCGGGGGGCCCUGGAGGAGAAGGACUUCCAGAAGGCCGAAGGGUUGCUGCUUCGGGCCCAGAGACCAGGCCUGGCUCUCAAUUACUAUAAGGAGGCCGGACUGUGGAGCGACGCUCUGCGCAUCUGCAAGGACUAUGUGCCUGGCCAGCUAGAGGCCCUCCAGGAAGAGUACGAGCGGGAAGCCACCAAGAAGGGGGGAAGAGGCGUGGAGGGACUUGUGGAGCAAGCGCGGCAGUGGGAACAGGCUGGAGAGUACAGCCGUGCUGUGGACUGCUACCUCAAAGUUCGAGAGGCAGGCAGCAGCGGCCUCAUGGAGAAGUGCUGGAUGAAGGCGGCUGAGCUGUCCAUCAAGUUUCUGCCUCCGCAGCGCAGUCUGGAAGUAGUUCGGGCCGUCGGUCCCCAGCUGAUUGGCAUUGGAAAGCACAGCGCUGCUGCGGAACUCUACCUGAACCUGGACCUUGUCAAAGAAGCCAUCGAUGCUUUCAUUGAGGGGGAAGAGUGGAACAAGGCCAAGCGCGUGGCCAAAGAGUUAGACCCCCGGUAUGAAGACUAUGUGGACCAGCACUAUAAGGAAUUCCUCAAGAACCAGGGCAAAGUGGAUUCGCUGGUGGGUGUGGACGUCGUAGCCGCUUUGGACCUGUACGUGGAGCAGGGUCAGUGGGACAAGUGCAUUGAAACAGCUACCAAGCAGAACUACAAGAUUCUGCACAAGUAUGUGGCUUUGUAUGCGACUCAUCUGAUCCGAGAAGGUGGCUAUACCCAGGCACUGGCCCUCUAUGUGCAACAUGGAGCCCCUGCUAACCCACAGAACUUCAACAUCUACAAAAGGAUCUUCACUGACAUGGUUAGCUCUCCUGGGACCAACAAUGCCGAGGCCUACCAUAGCUGGGCUGACCUUCGGGAUGUCCUCUUCAACCUGUGUGAAAACCUGGUGAAGUCCAGCGAAGCAAACUCGGCCGCUCAUGAGGAGUUUGAGGUGAUGCUGCUGAUUGCUCAUUACUACGCGACCCGAUCUGCAGCCCAGAGCAUCAAACAGCUGGAAACCGUAGCUGCCAGGCUUUCUGUUUCGCUCCUGCGCCACACCCAGCUGUUACCUGCGGACAAGGCCUUUUACGAAGCGGGCACGGCUGCCAAGGAGGUUGGCUGGGAAAAUAUGGCUUUCAUUUUCCUCAACCGAUUUCUGGAUCUGACUGACGCCAUCGAAGAGGGGACUCUGGACGCCCUUGACCACUCGGACUUCCAGGACACAGACAUCCCCUUUGAGGUGCCACUGCCGGCCAAGCAGCAUGUACCGGAGGCCCAGCGAGAAGAGGUCCGAGACUGGGUGCUCACAGUCUCGAUGGAUCAGCGGCUGGAACAGGUUCUGCCCCGGGAUGAGCGUGGGGUCUAUGAGGCCUCCCUAGUAGCAGCGAGCACUGGAGUGCGAGCACUGCCCUGCCUCAUUACAGGUUACCCCAUUCUGAGGAACAAAAUUGAAUUUAAGCGCCCAGGGAAGGCUGCUAACAAAGACAACUGGAACAAGUUUCUUAUGGCCAUUAAGACCUCCCACAGCCCAGUGUGCCAGGACGUGCUCAAAUUCAUCAGCCAGUGGUGUGGCGGGCUCCCCAGCACCAGCUUUUCUUUUCAGUGACUGGGGCGGCGGUGGCGGAGACAUUGAGCUCUGCCCCUCAUUAAAGUUCUGGCCCGAUUCCCCGGAGGGUGAGUGCAGCCACACAACAGUAACCAGAAAGAGCAGCCUCGGCUGCGGACAUGAACAGAGAGGGGAUCCAGAGAGCCAGGGCUGUGUCCUACAACCACAAAGGAACGGAGGGCUAGGCUUG